Molecule: ribosomal RNA, 382 nt
Filed under: uncultured bacterium
Lineage: Bacteria
Description: bacterial SSU rRNA
Rfam family: Bacterial small subunit ribosomal RNA
Source: RNAcentral
AUUGAACGCUGGCGGCAUGCCUUACACAUGCAAGUCGAACGGACGAGCGGGCCUUCGGUGCCGGCGAGUGGCGAACGGGUGAGUAAGUGCGAUCGGAACGUGCCAUUGAGUGGGGGAUAACGUAGCGAAAGUUACGCUAAUACCGCAUAUUCUGUGAGCAGGAAAGCAGGGGACCGCAAGGCCUUGCGCUCUUUGAGCGGCCGAUGUCAGAUUAGCUAGUUGGGUGAGGUAAAGGCUUACCAAGGCGACGAUCUGUAGCGGGUCUGAGAGGAUGAUCCGCCACACUGGAACUGAGACACGGUCCAGACUCCUACGGGAGGCAGCAGUGGGGAAUUUUGGACAAUGGGCGCAAGCCUGAUCCAGCCAUGCCGCGUGAGUGAAG